GGCAGGCUGAGAAAGCAGGGCAGUAUAUAAGCCUUGCUGUUUUCUAAGUGAAGACAGGCUGGGAAAGAAACAAGUUGUGCUGUUGGGGGUGUCCUGAAAUUUAUCGGUAUGAGAGAUUACUGCAAUAGCAGAGCUUUUAAGAGAAUGAAACAGUCACCAACCAAGAAUCAUAGGGCCAAAUCCUGAGAGGGGCCUAGGGACCUGUGAUCUUUGUUCAGGCCCAAUUCAAUGUCUACAGAAAUCAAUGAUUUGGAUCAGGCCCUCUAACUAUUGUCAGGACAUCCAUAAUAUCUGGAUGGAAGUUUUUUUAUGUUUUGUUUACAACCUGAA
Molecule: long non-coding RNA, 330 nt
Organism: Dermochelys coriacea (leatherback sea turtle)
Lineage: Eukaryota; Metazoa; Chordata; Testudines; Dermochelyidae
Exons: 3
Source: RefSeq, a predicted model, not a curated record